Molecule: ribosomal RNA, 305 nt
Filed under: uncultured bacterium
Lineage: Bacteria
Description: partial 16S ribosomal RNA
Rfam family: Bacterial small subunit ribosomal RNA
Source: RNAcentral
ACAGCAGUCGCCACGGUAAUACGUAGGUGGCCAGCGUUGUCCGGAAUUAUUGGGCGUAAAGGGCUCGCAGGCGGUUUCUUAAGUCUGAUGUGAAAGCCCCCGGCUCAACCGGGGAGGGUCAUUGGAAACUGGGAAACUUGAGUGCAGAAGAGGAGAGUGGAAUUCCACGUGUAGCGGUGAAAUGCGUAGAGAUGUGGAGGAACACCAGUGGCGAAGGCGACUCUCUGGUCUGUAACUGACGCUGAGGAGCGAAAGCGUGGGGAGCGAACAGGAUUAGAUACCCGUGUAGUCCCUGUCUCUUAUAC